UCCUUAGUCACGGGGAUGGUUCUUCAA
Molecule: non-coding RNA, 27 nt
Filed under: Mus musculus (house mouse)
Lineage: Eukaryota; Metazoa; Chordata; Mammalia; Rodentia; Muridae
Source: RNAcentral